RNAcentral lists this ribosomal RNA (497 nucleotides) under uncultured bacterium. RNAcentral's name for it is "partial 16S ribosomal RNA". It matches the Rfam family "Bacterial small subunit ribosomal RNA", at positions 28 to 507 of the family's 1533-position model. The record is from RNAcentral.
GAUGAACGCUGGCGGCGUGCCUAAUACAUGCAAGUCGAGCGAACGGACGAGAAGCUUGCUUCUCUGAUGUUAGCGGCGGACGGGUGAGUAACACGUGGAUAACCUACCUAUAAGACUGGGAUAACUUCGUGAAACCGGAGCUAAUACCGGAUAAUAUUUUGAACCGCAUGGUUCAAAAGUGAAAGACGGUCUUGCUGUCACUUAUAGAUGGAUCCGCGCUGCAUUAGCUAGUUGGUAAGGUAACGGCUUACCAAGGCAACGAUGCAUAGCCGACCUGAGAGGGUGAUCGGCCACACUGGAACUGAGACGCGGUCCAGACUCCUACGGGAGGCAGCAGUAGGGAAUCUUCCGCAAUGGGCGAAAGCCUGACGGAGCAACGCCGCGUGAGUGAUGAAGGUCUUCGGAUCGUAAAACUCUGUUAUUAGGGAAGAACAUAUGUGUAAGUAACUGUGCACAUCUUGACGGUACCUAAUCAGAAAGCCACGGCUAACUACGUG